UCAGCUCGUGUCGUGAGAUGUUGGGUUAAGUCCCGCAACGAGCGCAACCCUUGAUUUUAGUUGCCAGCAUUUAGUUGGGCACUCUAAAGUGACUGCCGGUGCAAGCCGGAGGAAGGUGGGGAUGACGUCAAAUCAUCAUGCCCCUUAUGACCUGGGCUACACACGUGCUACAAUGGAUAGUACAAAGGGUCGCGAAGCCGCGAGGUGGAGCUAAUCCCAUAAAACUAUUCUCAGUUCGGAUUGUAGGCUGCAACUCGCCUACAUGAAGCCGGAAUCGCUAGUAAUCGUGGAUCAGCAUGCCACGGUGAAUACGUUCCCGGGCCUUGUACACACCGCCCGUCACACCACGAGAGUUUGUAACACCCGAAGUCGGUAGGGUAACCUUUAUGGAGCCAGCCGCCGAAGGUGGGACAGAUAAUUGGGGUGAAGUCGUAACAAGGUAGCCGUAUCGGAAGGUGCGGCUGGAUCACCUCCUUUCUAAGGAA
This 485-nucleotide ribosomal RNA is filed under the name Listeria monocytogenes. RNAcentral's name for it is "bacterial SSU rRNA". It matches the Rfam family "Bacterial small subunit ribosomal RNA", at positions 1055 to 1533 of the family's 1533-position model. Lineage: Bacteria; Bacillati; Bacillota; Bacilli; Caryophanales; Listeriaceae. The record is from RNAcentral.